Molecule: ribosomal RNA, 404 nt
Filed under: uncultured bacterium
Lineage: Bacteria
Description: bacterial SSU rRNA
Rfam family: Bacterial small subunit ribosomal RNA
Source: RNAcentral
UGGGGAAUCUUGCGCAAUGGGCGAAAGCCUGACGCAGCAACGCCGCGUGGGGGAUGAAGGCCUUCGGGUUGUAAACCCCUUUCAGCAGGAACGAAUCUGACGGUACCUGCAGAAGAAGGUCCGGCCAACUACGUGCCAGCAGCCGCGGUAACACGUAGGGACCAAGCGUUGUCCGGAUUUAUUGGGCGUAAAGCGCUCGUAGGCGGUUUGGUAAGUCGGGUGUGAAACCUCCAGGCUCAACCUGGUGACGCCACCCGAUACUGCCAUGACUUGAGUUCGGUAGGGGAGCGGGGAAUUCCUGGUGUAGCGGUGAAAUGCGCAGAUAUCAGGAGGAACACCGGUGGCGAAGGCGCCGCUCUGGGCCGAAACUGACGCUGAGGAGCGAAAGCGUGGGGAGCAAACAG